GGGAAAGUAAAGGCCAGUGUUGGAGAAGCCUGAGUGGGUAGGAACUGCCGGUGAUGUCUAGGGCCUGAGGGCAGCCUCCAGCAGACUCCAGUGAAAAGCCGAAAGUCUUCAGGCAUACUACCUGAAGACAAUGAAUCCUGCCAAGUCCCUGAAGGAACUUGAGAGCAGAUUCUUCUCCAGUUAAUCCUCCAGAUGAUGGUGAAGCCUGAGAAACCCCUUGAAACUCUGAGCAGGUGACCCAAACCAGCGGCACCCAGAUUCUGACCCCUGGAAAUGUUUCAGUACCAGGAAAAGGACAACAAUGUUUACCCCACAGGACUGGACAAUAGG
This 330-nucleotide long non-coding RNA is filed under the name Pan troglodytes (chimpanzee). RNAcentral describes it as "long non-coding RNA NONPTRT013331". Lineage: Eukaryota; Metazoa; Chordata; Mammalia; Primates; Hominidae. The record is from RNAcentral.